CCUACGGGAGGCAGCAGUGGGGAAUAUUGGACAAUGGGGGAAACCCUUAUCCAGCGACGCCGCGUGAGGGAAGAAGGUUUUCGGAUUGUAAACCUCUGUCAGUGGGGACGAUAAUGACGGUACCCACGGAGGAAGCCACGGCUAACUACGUGCCAGCAGCCGCGGCAAUACGUAGGUGGCAAGCGUUGUCCGGAAUUACUGGGUGUAAAGGGGGCGUAGGCGGGAUGUCUAGUCAGAAGUGAAAAUUUUGGGGCCAACUCAUAAUCGGCUUUUGAAACUGACAUUCUUGAGUGAAGGAGAGGCAAGCGGAAUUCCUGGUGUAGCGGUGAAAUGCGUAGAUAUUAGGAGGAACACCAGUGGCGAAGGCAGCUUGCUGGGCUUUUACUGACGCUGAGGCACGAAAGCGUGGGGAGCAAACAGGAUUAGAUACCCGUGUAGUC
This 440-nucleotide ribosomal RNA is filed under the name uncultured bacterium. Its description in RNAcentral is "partial 16S ribosomal RNA". It matches the Rfam family "Bacterial small subunit ribosomal RNA", at positions 338 to 795 of the family's 1533-position model. The record is from RNAcentral.